UGCUAUAUAUUUAUUAUUUACAUAUAAUGUAUAUAGUUAUUUUAUUUAUUACUAUAGUAUUUAUUUAGAAUAUAUCAACCCAUAUAUACAUCCAGGCGCUAUACAAUAAUCAACCGUCCGACUAGCGUAUAACGUAUUUUAUAACACUGCUUAGUUUGAAUCAAGUUACAAGUAGUCAUUAUUCAUAAGCCAUAACAUAAGCCUAUCCCGCCCGUACUUUGUUUGUUUUUCAAGUUUGACUCAAGUUAUAAGUAGUCAAUACUUCACGUGUGCAACUCAAGUAACAUUCAUUAUAAAACCAAAAUAUAAAUUUAACCAGACACCAAAUUCAAUAGGCAAUCGCAAAUGUUUUGAAAAAACAACACCAAAUCAAAACAAUGAAUCUCCAAAAUGUAAAUUAAAACCAAAACACCAAAUAAAAAUACCAAAUCAAGAAGGUAUAGCCUAUGUGUGUUUAAGAAACCUGUUGCAUCAGAAUAAAGUCAUGUAUGGUAUAGCCAUUAUUUUUUUUAUUUUUAACCAAUAUAUAGCCAUUAAUUAAUGUCUUAAUUUGUGUAAUAGCUAAUUUUAAGAAAAAAAUUAAGAAUAUAGUAUUGAUGUUGACAUAAUUAGAUCUCCAAACAUUUUUUUUCUUUUUUUUCUUUUCCUUCUGAUUUUCU
Molecule: long non-coding RNA, 659 nt
Filed under: Brassica rapa (field mustard)
Lineage: Eukaryota; Viridiplantae; Streptophyta; Magnoliopsida; Brassicales; Brassicaceae
Description: long non-coding RNA (BRAP_LNC001459)
Source: RNAcentral